RNAcentral lists this ribosomal RNA (421 nucleotides) under uncultured bacterium. RNAcentral describes it as "partial 16S ribosomal RNA". It matches the Rfam family "Bacterial small subunit ribosomal RNA", at positions 360 to 773 of the family's 1533-position model. The record is from RNAcentral.
AAUAUUGGACAAUGGGCGAAAGCCUGAUCCAGCCAUGCCGCGUGUGUGAAGAAGGUCUUCGGAUUGUAAAGCACUUUAUGUUGGGAGGAAGGGCAGUAAGCGAAUACCUUGCUUUUUUUACGUUACCGACAGAAUAAGUACCGGCUCACUUUUUGCCAGCAGCCGCGGUAAUACAGCGGGUGCAAGCGUUAACCGGAAUUACUGGGCGUAAAGCGCGCGUAGGUGGUUCGUUAAGUUGGAUGUGAAAUCCCCGGGCUCAACCUGGGAACUGCAUCCAAAACUGGCGGGCUAGAGUAGGGCAGAGGGUGGUGGAAUUUCCUGUGUAGCGGUGAAAUGCGUAGAUAUAGGAAGGAACACCAGUGGCGAAGGCGACCACCUGGGCUCAUACUGACACUGAGGUGAGAAAGCGUGGGGAGCAAAC